This 1221-nucleotide long non-coding RNA is filed under the name Marmota monax (woodchuck). Lineage: Eukaryota; Metazoa; Chordata; Mammalia; Rodentia; Sciuridae. The record is from RNAcentral.
UAUAAUUCCAGAGGCAGACACUUUAAAUAGUGCAACCCUAAAAGAUUGUUUAGGGGGUGCUCUCUGAGGAGUCUCUGAGAAUCUUGUAGAAGAUGUAUUUGCUCCCUGGUCUGGUUGUUCUGCACCUGGGGUUUACUGGGAAUCAGGCUGUGUGUCCUUUAAAUUUGUGGAGCACUCUAAGCUUUCUCUCCCUAGAAAAGUUAAUCUUCCCGCCUUGCCUGGCUACUUUUGCUGAGAAACCUAUUAUAUAAUCUUUGCUGCCCCCAGGAAGGGAAAUUAUUUCGGUGCUCCGUUUGGAUGUAAAUUUCCAGCCACAUGUGGAGAUCAAGAGGUUUAUCAUAGUUAGAUCCUAGCUUCGAAUUUUCGGAGGAAUAAUAGUUUCCUUUUCCUGUAAUUAUAUGAAGUUACUGAUUCUUACUCUCCUCGUCCUUCAACUGUAUGUUUUGAAUGUUUGCAUCUGCUAUUUUGAGAACUGUGUUGUAUUUUUACAGAUUGCAAAAGUUGCAAAUGUUCAUUGUGAGUAAGAAGGUGAAAGGACAGCUCUAUCACUUGAAGACAUUGUAUUGUUUGUCAAACUAAACAAAGCCUCCUUUUGGUUUCUUUCUUUUGAAACUGGGAGUAAAUAUGGUAAUCCACUUAAAUAGAGGAAAAUUUAAGAACUUUGAGAAUGUCUUCUCUAUGCAUAUGUAAUGCUGAUGCUGGGCUCUAGUGGAGAAGUUAAGGCAGACUUCUCCCAUACAACUAUUAUCCAUUUGAAAAGUCAGUUUCUUCCUUUCUUUUUGUUUAAAAUAAUCUAAGUAGUAUUAUAUGAGAAAACAAACUUUUCUGUAUGCUUUACUAAAUUUAUAGCAAAUUCUAUAUUUAAAAUAAUCUGAUCUCCAAAUUAGCUCCUUCAAAUUAUGCCUUGGCCAACAAAUACUACAUUAGAAAUUUUGAAAUUUCUACUUACUUAUUUCUUUUACAGGAUUGUAUGACUGUGAUUUGGGGGCAUUUCUUCCUGCUUUAGAGGCUUUACACAAGAAUGGAAAAGAAACAUUAAUUUGGGGUGUAAUUGUCUAAAAGCAAUAGAGAAAUUAAAAUAAUAAGUGCAAAAGAGCCAUAUAGCUCUAAAGAUCCCUGAUGCUUUUUUUUUCUUUUACAGUACUUGUAUUAAGGUAAAGUAUUUAUGCAUCAAAAUUGGCCUUCACUUUUCCUUGUAAUAAUAAAGAACUUCAAUACUGG